ACAAGUUUGUGUAGUUGAACAGAAUCUGUUCUAUAGGUUGUACAUCCGUUUCCAUUGGCACAAUGGAGACGUGGACAACAAUCUAGAAGAUGAUACAAUGCCAUGUGGCCAGAGAGUGAAUACUGGCUCUGGGCCCCAUGGGACUCCAUUCAGUCCUAGAUGAUCGCUCCCAUCAACCAAUGGCUGAUGAGAUGGCCAUGUGUCAGUCUGACAGAUC
RNAcentral lists this small nucleolar RNA (217 nucleotides) under Amborella trichopoda. Its description in RNAcentral is "snoRNA Plant_U3". It matches the Rfam family "Plant small nucleolar RNA U3". Rfam says of the family: Small nucleolar RNAs (snoRNAs) are involved in the processing and modification of rRNA in the nucleolus. There are two main classes of snoRNAs: the box C/D class, and the box H/ACA class. The record is from Rfam by way of RNAcentral. Lineage: Eukaryota; Viridiplantae; Streptophyta; Magnoliopsida; Amborellales; Amborellaceae.